RNAcentral lists this ribosomal RNA (1000 nucleotides) under Streptococcus suis. Its description in RNAcentral is "bacterial SSU rRNA". It matches the Rfam family "Bacterial small subunit ribosomal RNA", at positions 8 to 990 of the family's 1533-position model. Lineage: Bacteria; Bacillati; Bacillota; Bacilli; Lactobacillales; Streptococcaceae. The record is from RNAcentral.
AGAGUUUGAUCCUGGCUCAGGACGAACGCUGGCGGCGUGCCUAAUACAUGCAAGUAGAACGCUGAAGUCUGGUGCUUGCACUAGACGGAUGAGUUGCGAACGGGUGAGUAACGCGUAGGUAACCUGCCUCAUAGCGGGGGAUAACUAUUGGAAACGAUAGCUAAUACCGCAUAACAGUAUUUACCGCAUGGUAGAUGCUUGAAAGGAGCAAUUGCUUCACUAUGAGAUGGACCUGCGUUGUAUUAGCUAGUUGGUGAGGUAACGGCUCACCAAGGCAUCGAUACAUAGCCGACCUGAGAGGGUGAUCGGCCACACUGGGACUGAGACACGGCCCAGACUCCUACGGGAGGCAGCAGUAGGGAAUCUUCGGCAAUGGGGGCAACCCUGACCGAGCAACGCCGCGUGAGUGAAGAAGGUUUUCGGAUCGUAAAGCUCUGUUGUAAGAGAAGAACUGUGAGAAGAGUGGAAAGUUUCUCAUUUGACGGUAUCUUACCAGAAAGGGACGGCUAACUACGUGCCAGCAGCCGCGGUAAUACGUAGGUCCCGAGCGUUGUCCGGAUUUAUUGGGCGUAAAGCGAGCGCAGGCGGUUUGAUAAGUCUGAAGUAAAAGGCUGUGGCUUAACCAUAGUACGCUUUGGAAACUGUCAAACUUGAGUGCAGAAGGGGAGAGUGGAAUUCCAUGUGUAGCGGUGAAAUGCGUAGAUAUAUGGAGGAACACCGGUGGCGAAAGCGGCUCUCUGGUCUGUAACUGACGCUGAGGCUCGAAAGCGUGGGGAGCGAACAGGAUUAGAUACCCUGGUAGUCCACGCCGUAAACGAUGAGUGCUAGGUGUUGGGUCCUUUCCGGGACUCAGUGCCGCAGCUAACGCAUUAAGCACUCCGCCUGGGGAGUACGACCGCAAGGUUGAAACUCAAAGGAAUUGACGGGGGCCCGCACAAGCGGUGGAGCAUGUGGUUUAAUUCGAAGCAACGCGAAGAACCUUACCAGGUCUUGACAUCCC